CCUACGGGAGGCAGCAGUGAGGAAUAUUGGUCAAUGGGCUUACGCCUGAACCAGCCAAGCCGCGUGAGGGAAGACUGCCCUAUGGGUUGUAAACCUCUUUUGUCAGGGAGCAAUUGGCGCUACGUGUAGCGUUAUCGAGAGUACCUGAAGAAAAAGCAUCGGCUAACUCCGUGCCAGCAGCCGCGGUAAUACGGAGGAUGCGAGCGUUAUCCGGAUUUAUUGGGUUUAAAGGGUGCGUAGGCGGAAUGCCAAGUCAGCGGUAAAAUCGCGGGGCUCAACCUCGCUCCGCCGUUGAAACUGGCGGUCUUGAGUGGGCGAGAAGUAUGCGGAAUGCGUGGUGUAGCGGUGAAAUGCAUAGAUAUCACGCAGAACUCCGAUUGCGAAGGCAGCAUACCGGCGCCCAACUGACGCUGAAGCACGAAAGCGUGGGUAUCGAACAGGAUUAGAUACCCUUGUAGUC
RNAcentral lists this ribosomal RNA (460 nucleotides) under uncultured bacterium. Its description in RNAcentral is "partial 16S ribosomal RNA". It matches the Rfam family "Bacterial small subunit ribosomal RNA", at positions 338 to 795 of the family's 1533-position model. The record is from RNAcentral.